CUGCGCUAGGUGGGGAGUCAGCGGUGCCCUGUACUUGCAAUCCGCUACAGCAAGACCGAACGUUCCCCGAGGCGUGUCGUAUGGUUGGCUGCAUACGGCAAGGCGCGUUGAUAACAAGGUCUUAUGCAACGGAUCUCCGUGAACCGCGUCAGGAUAGGGAUAUAGCAGCGCUAAACGACAGUUUUCGUGUGCCAUAAGGUUGCUUUGAAGGAGCGACCUACCGUGUUUCCGCUUCGGUAUGGCGCGUCGACGGGAUACCCGCGCAG
RNAcentral lists this signal recognition particle RNA (266 nucleotides) under Clostridia bacterium. Its description in RNAcentral is "signal recognition particle sRNA large type". It matches the Rfam family "Bacterial large signal recognition particle RNA". From Rfam's summary of the family: The signal recognition particle (SRP) is a universally conserved ribonucleoprotein involved in the co-translational targeting of proteins to membranes. Archaeal SRP consists of a 7S RNA and homologues of the eukaryotic SRP19 and SRP54 proteins. In most bacteria, the SRP consists of a 4.5S RNA and the Ffh protein (a homologue of the eukaryotic SRP54 protein). The record is from RNAcentral. Lineage: Bacteria; Bacillati; Bacillota; Clostridia.